Myotis brandtii (Brandt's bat) is the source of this 76-nucleotide non-coding RNA. NCBI's taxonomy places the organism in Eukaryota, Metazoa, Chordata, Mammalia, Chiroptera, Vespertilionidae. The record is from Rfam.
GGCGAUUCUUGGGUGAUGCACCCCAGAACCAGAGAGGAGGGAGCCUGAUUCCGGGGUGCAUCACCGGAGAACUGCC